ACUCCUACGGGAGGCAGCAGUGGGGAAUAUUGCACAAUGGGCGCAAGCCUGAUGCAGCAACGCCGUGUGAGUGAAGAAGGUUUUCGGAUCGUAAAACUCUGUCCUAAGGGAAGAAACAAAUGACGGUACCUUAGGAGGAAGCCCCGGCUAACUACGUGCCAGCAGCCGCGGUAAUACGUAGGGGGCAAGCGUUAUCCGGAAUCACUGGGCGUAAAGGGUGCGUAGGCGGCUUGACAAGCCAGGGGUGAAAGGCAUUGGCUCAACCAAUGUAAGCCUUUGGAACUGUUAAGCUUGAGUGCAGGAGAGGUAAGUGGAAUUCCUAGUGUAGAGGUGAAAUUCGUAGAUAUUAGGAGGAACACCAGUGGCGAAGGCGACUUACUGGACUGUAACUGACGCUGAUGCACGAAAGCGUGGGUAGCGAACAGGAUUAGAUACCCUGGUAGCACAGAG
This 450-nucleotide ribosomal RNA is filed under the name uncultured bacterium. Its description in RNAcentral is "bacterial SSU rRNA". It matches the Rfam family "Bacterial small subunit ribosomal RNA", at positions 335 to 799 of the family's 1533-position model. The record is from RNAcentral.